RNAcentral lists this ribosomal RNA (1614 nucleotides) under Triticum aestivum (bread wheat). RNAcentral's name for it is "partial small subunit ribosomal RNA". Lineage: Eukaryota; Viridiplantae; Streptophyta; Magnoliopsida; Poales; Poaceae. The record is from RNAcentral.
AUGUCCACCAACGGCAGCUCCCCGGUACGUGCGCCGCCCUCUCGCCCCGGUCCACACGCCUCUGAAAUUUCCCGACUUUGGUUGGUGUCUGUCUUCUCUGACGAUUUGCUCGGGCGGGGGUGGGGGAUUCUGCAGAGGGUCAGGGACACGGAGAGCAGCCUGGAGAAGGUGAAGCGGCAGCUGUCGACGGGAUCCGGGAGGUACUUGCUGCAGGGCCCCCUGCUGAAGCGAUCUGAGACGUUACGGAAAUGGAACGAAAGAUGGAUAAUAUUGGACCCAACGUCUGGCAAGAUGGAAUACAAACUUCGGAGGAAUGAAACUGCCGUUAAGGGAACCAUUAUAUUUGAUGCUUCAAGCACCAUUACUUUGUCUCCUGUAAAUUUUCAAGGCAUGCCAAAGUAUGACGGAUGUUGUUUCUACAUUGGAACUCCUCAGAAAAAAGAUUACUUUCUUUGCGCUGAAACUCCUGGUGCUGCCAAAGCUUGGGUAUCUACAUUGCAUGCAACUCAGUUAGUACUACAAGCGCAUAAAGAGGCAGUAAAUUCUUUAGCUGGGAAUGGCUCUCCUUCUACAUUAGGCACGGUUGCUACUGCAGUUGCUAAUGCUAAUGCAACUGCUUUGGAGGCAAUGAAGGAGAUAGAUGCAGCACUGAAGGUUUCAAUGAGGGCAGCUCUUGGGUUGGGUACAAAUAAUUCGAAUGUGGGUCAACUUGAUGAUUUAACUAUCAUGAAGGAGACUCUCCGAGUGAAAGAUGAGGAGUUGCAGCAUUUGGCUAAGGACAUUCGUGCUCGUGACGCCACAAUUCAGGAAAUUGCAGAGAAGUUAACGGAGACCGCAGAGGCUGCAGAAGCAGCAGCAUCUGCAGCUCAUACAAUCGAUGAACAGAGACGACUUCUAUGUUCAGAGAUUGAGCGUCUGAAAAAAGCAAUGGAAACACAAAUGGAACAAUCCAUGCUUAAGCUACGACAAUCUGAAGAGAAGGUAAUUAGCCUGAGCAAAGAGAACGACCAGUUGAUGAAGGAAAGAGAUGCCGCAUUUCAGGAAGCAUAUAUGUGGCGCACUGAACUAGGAAAAGCUAGAGAGCAAGCAGUGAUACAGGAAGCAGCAAUUGCUCGAGCAGAGGAGAAGGUAAGGGUGUCUGAAGCGGAUGCUGCGGUUCGGAUCAAGGAAGCCGCUGAAAAACUGCAUGCUGCUGAGAAAGAAAAGGAGGAACUUUUAGCCCUUAUUGGUGUUCUCCAAUCACAAGUGCAGAGAGAACAAAGCAGCACGAAGCAAGUAUGCGAGGAGAGAUCCGAGUCAUGCUCCGGCGCCGACAACUCCCCUCCGCUGACGAAGCACGUCGACGCAUCGGACGACGACGUGGACAAGGCGUGCGUGAGCGAUUCGAGAUCGGUCGUGGUCUCGAGUGAGAGCACGGAGGUCCAGCUGGCCGUGGACGGGGUGGACAUCCGCCCCAUCGGCGACCCGGAGUGGGGCAGCUUCCAGCAGCCGGAAGCGCUGAUCGCCGACGUGCGGGAGGUCUCCCCGGAGGCGGAAGGCAGCAGCCUGGAUAUCCCGGUGGUCAACCCGGCACCGGCCAAUGAUCAUAUGCAGGGAGGGGCAACACAUCCCUGA